Molecule: ribosomal RNA, 938 nt
Filed under: uncultured bacterium
Lineage: Bacteria
Description: bacterial SSU rRNA
Rfam family: Bacterial small subunit ribosomal RNA
Source: RNAcentral
CUCCUACGGGAGGCAGCAGUGGGGAAUAUUGCACAAUGGGGGAAACCCUGAUGCAGCGACGCCGCGUGAAGGAAGAAGUAUCUCGGUAUGUAAACUUCUAUCAGCAGGGAAGAUAAUGACGGUACUCAACAAGGAAGUGACGGCUAACUACGUGCCAGCAGCCGCGGUAAAACGUAGGUCACAAGCGUUGUCCGGAAUUACUGGGUGUAAAGGGAGCGCAGGCGGGAAGACAAGUUGGAAGUGAAAUCCAUGGGCUCAACCCAUGAACUGCUUUCAAAACUGUUUUUCUUGAGUAGUGCAGAGGUAGGCGGAAUUCCCGGUGUAGCGGUGGAAUGCGUAGAUAUCGGGAGGAACACCAGUGGCGAAGGCGGCCUACUGGGCACCAACUGACGCUGAGGCUCGAAAGUGUGGGUAGCAAACAGGAUUAGAUACCCUGGUAGUCCACACCGUAAACGAUGAUUACUAGGUGUUGGAGGAUUGACCCCUUCAGUGCCGCAGUUAACACAAUAAGUAAUCCACCUGGGGAGUACGACCGCAAGGUUGAAACUCAAAGGAAUUGACGGGGGCCCGCACAAGCAGUGGAGUAUGUGGUUUAAUUCGACGCAACGCGAAGAACCUUACCAAGUCUUGACAUCCUGCGACGAUGCUGGAAACAGUAUUUUCCUUCGGGACGCAGAGACAGGUGGUGCAUGGUUGUCGUCAGCUCGUGUCGUGAGAUGUUGGGUUAAGUCCCGCAACGAGCGCAACCCUUAUGGUCAGUUACUACGCAAGAGGACUCUGGCCAGACUGCCGUUGACAAAACGGAGGAAGGUGGGGAUGACGUCAAAUCAUCAUGCCCUUUAUGACUUGGGCUACACACGUACUACAAUGGCGUUAAACAAAGAGAAGCAAGACCGCGAGGUGGAGCAAAACUCAGAAACAACGUCCCAGUUCGGACA